ACCUCCUUCCCCACAGGACAAUAUUACUUUUUAUAAAUAUAGGGAACUUUGGAAUCAGUGCUUAAACUGGAAUCUAAUUUGAAUUGAGUUUUCAGAAUUUUUUUUUCGACUUUUGGGCGUGAAUUUUUUUUGACACUCGUCAAAUAUGUUUGUUUGCUCUGCAACUUUCUAGUUUGAAAUCUAAAUUUGAAUCUAGUUUUAAACAAAUAAUACCUAGAAUGGGCAGGUUAGAUUAUUAGAGCAUAGCCUAAACUGAUCUGAUUACUUAUCAAGUAUGGUUGCGACCAGUUUAGUAUGUAUAUAGACAAGGCUAGGCACGUUGGCCCCAAUUUAUGCCUUAAUUAGGGGGUUAUUUGCUUAAACUCAUAUUUAUCUGGUGGGGCUUUUUGGGGAAACACUGUAAAUUUUUGUGGAAAAAAACCUCAAAUUUUUAGAUGCUGCAAAAAACCCUAAUGCGAAAAUCCGCCUUCUCAGAGGUGGUAUAAAUCAAUGGGGGAGGCACCACCUCAAAUUGAAAUUAUUGUGGUCUUCAGAGGGUUUAGCCUGAAAAUCUAACUUUUUCUAGGUUUUGGGAAAAAAUCAAUCUCAAUUUGAAGAUAUUGUGGUUUGCGCUGAGAUUAGCCUGCAAAAUCCAAAAAAAAUCUGGGUUUUCAGGCUAAAACUUGAAAAACCAGAUGAUUUGUGUGAUUUUAUCGUGUUUUUUCCUGAAACUAUGUUUUUUUUUAUAAAUAAAUAAGGUCAAAUUGGGCAUGGAAAUUUGGUUGUGGUUUAUUUUUAUAAAAUAUGAGAUAUAUGCAUAGUUUCGUAAUUAACCCCAGCAACAGCAAUGAUCACUAUAUGUCUGCCUACUUUGAUGUAUUUUUGCCGCAGUGGGGGGAUACCAUUGUAGGAUCUGUCCAAGGAAGCAAAAAAUGGUCCAGAAAAAACGGUCCAGAGUUAGCUAGGAUCUAUGAUCACUUAUUUACUUUGUAAUGAACCACCUGCAGAGGGCAAUAAAAUCCUAUAAAAGUGAUCAUGCUAGUGAUCUGUCUUUGUUUAAGGUGGGAAUAUCAUCUACCUGCCACAAUUGGCAGAUGUCUGGGGAACAGAGACCAGGAAAGGCCAGUCCAUUAAUCUUAUAAUCCACCACUCCUUCUACUAUGUGGCCAAGUACGAGCAGGACCAGGUCAUAUGAUGGAAGCACCUCCUUCCCCACAGCAGUUAUCCUGUGUAUCUGCCGUGAUUCCUCUGAUAUCUUGUUUCCAUGUAACAAUAAAUCCUGGUGUCUGUCAAUCACCAUCUCCCAAUCUACGUCUGAUAUUCCGCCAGAAACACAAUGGAGUGACAGUACAGGUCUAUUCAUUUGCGCCAUGUUCCCACCUGUGAUCUGACGGUUUGUGUUCCUUCCCAGAACAGAGACCUGAGAACAGUGCGGAUGUGCAUUGUAUGUCCAUGAACAUAAACAUCACUCAGCCAAGAACUACGUCAACACUAUAGAGUCUUUUAUCUGCAGUAACAAAAGGUUUUGACUUCGCUCCUUUCUCCUUAUCGGUGAGAGAAAUGCAACAGGUGCACUGAAAGCAUUUGUAAUUUAAUUUACUCAUUUUGAAAUAAACUGGAAAUUGGUUGUUCAAGAACUUG
Long non-coding RNA from Xenopus laevis (African clawed frog), 1620 nucleotides. RefSeq lists it as uncharacterized. Lineage: Eukaryota; Metazoa; Chordata; Amphibia; Anura; Pipidae. The transcript has 2 exons. The record is from RefSeq and is a predicted model, not a curated record.